UAGGUUGGCCUUAUUCUCAUGCUAGUGG
RNAcentral lists this non-coding RNA (28 nucleotides) under Mus musculus (house mouse). The record is from RNAcentral. Lineage: Eukaryota; Metazoa; Chordata; Mammalia; Rodentia; Muridae.